GGGUAUUCUCGGAUGACGCACCCCAGAAUCGGGCUCCCUCCUCUCUGGUUCCGGGUGAGUCACCCGAGAACUGCA
Non-coding RNA from Myotis brandtii (Brandt's bat), 75 nucleotides. NCBI's taxonomy places the organism in Eukaryota, Metazoa, Chordata, Mammalia, Chiroptera, Vespertilionidae. The record is from Rfam.